RNAcentral lists this ribosomal RNA (390 nucleotides) under uncultured bacterium. Its description in RNAcentral is "bacterial SSU rRNA". It matches the Rfam family "Bacterial small subunit ribosomal RNA", at positions 28 to 417 of the family's 1533-position model. The record is from RNAcentral.
GACGAACGCUGGCGGCGUGCUUAACACAUGCAAGUCGAGCGGUAAGGCCCUUUCGGGGGUACGACGAGCGGCGAACGGGUAAGUAACACGUGGGUGACCUGCCCUCAGCUCUGGGAGUAAGCCUGGGAAACCGGGUCUAAUACUGGAUAUGACUCCAUGACGCAUGUUGUGGGGUGGAAAGCCUUGUGCGGCUGAGGAUGGGCCCGCGGCCUAUCAGCUUGUUGGUGGGGUGAUGGCCACCAAGGCGACGACGGGUAGCCGGCCUGAGAGGGCGACCGGCCACACUGGGACUGAGACACGGCCCAGACUCCUACGGGAGGCAGCAGGUGGGGAAUCUUGCGCAAUGGGCGAAAGCCUGACGCAGCGACGCCGCGUGAGGGAUGACCGGCC